This 1345-nucleotide ribosomal RNA is filed under the name uncultured bacterium. RNAcentral's name for it is "partial 16S ribosomal RNA". It matches the Rfam family "Bacterial small subunit ribosomal RNA", at positions 28 to 1380 of the family's 1533-position model. The record is from RNAcentral.
GACGAACUUUGGCGGCGUGCUUAACACAUGCAAGUCGAACGGAAAGGCCCUGCUUUUGUGGGGUGCUCGAGUGGCGAACGGGUGAGUAACACGUGAGUAACCUGCCCUUGACUUUGGGAUAACUUCAGGAAACUGGGGCUAAUACCGGAUAGGAGCUCCUGCUGCAUGGUGGGGGUUGGAAAGUUUCGGCGGUUGGGGAUGGACUCGCGGCUUAUCAGCUUGUUGGUGGGGUAGUGGCUUACCAAGGCUUUGACGGGUAGCCGGCCUGAGAGGGUGACCGGCCACAUUGGGACUGAGAUACGGCCCAGACUCCUACGGGAGGCAGCAGUGGGGAAUAUUGCACAAUGGGCGGAAGCCUGAUGCAGCAACGCCGCGUGCGGGAUGACGGCCUUCGGGUUGUAAACCGCUUUCGCCUGUGACGAAGCGUGAGUGACGGUAAUGGGUAAAGAAGCACCGGCUAACUACGUGCCAGCAGCCGCGGUGAUACGUAGGGUGCGAGCGUUGUCCGGAUUUAUUGGGCGUAAAGGGCUCGUAGGUGGUUGAUCGCGUCGGAAGUGUAAUCUUGGGGCUUAACCCUGAGCGUGCUUUCGAUACGGGUUGACUUGAGGAAGGUAGGGGAGAAUGGAAUUCCUGGUGGAGCGGUGGAAUGCGCAGAUAUCAGGAGGAACACCAGUGGCGAAGGCGGUUCUCUGGGCCUUUCCUGACGCUGAGGAGCGAAAGCGUGGGGAGCGAACAGGCUUAGAUACCCUGGUAGUCCACGCUGUAAACGGUGGGUACUAGGUGUGGGGUCCAUUCCACGGGUUCCGUGCCGUAGCUAACGCUUUAAGUACCCCGCCUGGGGAGUACGGCCGCAAGGCUAAAACUCAAAGGAAUUGACGGGGCCCCGCACAAGCGGCGGAGCAUGCGGAUUAAUUCGAUGCAACGCGUAGAACCUUACCUGGGUUUGACAUGGAUCGGGAGUGCUCAGAGAUGGGUGUGCCUCUUUUGGGGUCGGUUCACAGGUGGUGCAUGCCUGUCGUCAGCUCGUGUCGUGAGAUGUUGGGUUAAGUCCCGCAACGAGCGCAACCCUUGUUCACUGUUGCCAGCACGUUAUGGUGGGGACUCAGUGGAGACCGCCGGGGUCAACUCGGAGGAAGGUGGGGAUGACGUCAAGUCAUCAUGCCCCUUAUGUCCAGGGCUUCACGCAUGCUACAAUGGCUGGUACAGAGAGUGGCGAGCCUGUGAGGGUGAGCGAAUCUCGGAAAGCCGGUCUCAGUUCGGAUUGGGGUCUGCAACUCGACCUCAUGAAGUCGGAGUCGCUAGUAAUCGCAGAACAGCAACGCUGCGGUGAAUNCGUUCCCGGGGC